CCCUUAGAUGUUCUGGGCUGCACGCGCGCUACACUGACAUACUCAGCAAGUUUCCUUGCCUGAAAGGGUUGGGUAAUCUUGUUAGUGUAUGUCGUGAUGGGGAUAGAAUAUUGUAAUUAUUGCUCUUUAACGAGGAAUUCCUAGUAAGCGCAAGUCAUCAGCUUGCGUUGAUUACGUCCCUGCCCUUUGUACACACCGCCCGUCGCCCCUACCGAUUGGGUGAUCCGGUGAAUGAUUCGGACUCUGGCUAUGCUAGCUACUAGCUACGUCAGGGAAAGUUUUGUGAACCUUAUCACUUGGAGGAAGGAGAAGUCGUAACA
Molecule: ribosomal RNA, 320 nt
Filed under: uncultured eukaryote
Lineage: Eukaryota
Description: partial 18S ribosomal RNA
Rfam family: Eukaryotic small subunit ribosomal RNA
Source: RNAcentral